CCAGCCGAAAGGUUGGCUAAUACCGCAUACGUCCUACGGGAGAAAGCAGGGGAUCGCAAGACCUUGCGCCGAUGGAUGAGCCGAAGUCGGAUUAGCUAGUUGGUAGGGUAACGGCCUACCAAGGCGACAAUCCGUAGCUGGUCUGAGAGGACGACCAGCCACACUGGGACUGAGACACGGCCCAGACUCCUACGGGAGGCAGCAGUGGGGAAUAUUGGACAAUGGGGGCAACCCUGAUCCAGCGACGCCGCGUGUGUGAAGAAGGCCUGCGGGUUGUAAAGCACUUUUAGUGGGGAUGAAAAGCCUAGAGCUAACACCUCUGGGUCUUGACCUAACCCACAGAAAAAGCACCGGCUAACUCUGUGCCAGCAGCCGCGGUAAUACAGAGGUGCAAGCGUUAAUCGGAU
RNAcentral lists this ribosomal RNA (407 nucleotides) under Gammaproteobacteria bacterium. RNAcentral's name for it is "bacterial SSU rRNA". It matches the Rfam family "Bacterial small subunit ribosomal RNA", at positions 147 to 550 of the family's 1533-position model. The record is from RNAcentral. Lineage: Bacteria; Pseudomonadati; Pseudomonadota; Gammaproteobacteria.